Molecule: non-coding RNA, 120 nt
Filed under: Peptoclostridium acidaminophilum
Lineage: Bacteria; Bacillati; Bacillota; Clostridia; Peptostreptococcales; Peptoclostridiaceae
Also listed under: 1 other name
Description: FMN sequence
Rfam family: FMN riboswitch aptamer (RFN element)
About the family: The RFN element is a highly conserved domain that is found frequently in the 5'-untranslated regions of prokaryotic mRNAs that encode for flavin mononucleotide (FMN) biosynthesis and transport proteins. This element is a metabolite-dependent riboswitch that directly binds FMN in the absence of proteins.
Source: RNAcentral
UAUUUUCUUCGGGGAGGGGUGAAAUUCCCUACCGGCGGUAUAGCCCGCGAGCCUUGGAAAAAGGCUGAACUGGUGUAAUUCCAGUGCCGACAGUCAGAGUCUGGAUGGGAGAAGCAAUAU